Molecule: long non-coding RNA, 214 nt
Filed under: Homo sapiens (human)
Lineage: Eukaryota; Metazoa; Chordata; Mammalia; Primates; Hominidae
Description: HSALNT0089106
Source: RNAcentral
CUGCAGUUUCAAUCAAAGAAAUGGUGGCAUUCAGAAGGAGGAUGGAGAAUUCAUUGGAGAACUACAAAGGAAUUUCAGUCCUGGUGACAGUAGUAAAGCAGUCAGCCAAAGGUCUGAAGAGAAAAACUAAUCAAGAGGAAGGAAGAAAAACCACAAGAAGCAAUUGUUCACCUGAAGACCAUUUCUGAUGAGUUUGAAUAUAAAUACAAGAAUC